AGAUCUUUGUGGAAAUACACAGAGAAACUGGCAGAAAAUGAAUCCAUGGAGAUUUUGACAAGACCCCUCUAAGCAAGAUCUAAAGACAACAUCAGAUGGAGUUGUCUGUGGAUUAUGAGGAUGCAGCAUUCAAGGUUCUAUCUUGGAAGCAGAGACUGUGCCCUCACCAGAUGCUGAACCUGCUGAGCACCCUGAUCUUCCACUUCACCUUCAUCAGAACUACUGGGGCUGUGGCUGAGAUGUCACAUGGCAGAUAGGAUCACAAAUUUCUGUUGUAUCUGGAUGGAGAUCAGCAGGAGGAUCUAUGGGUGAGAAGAAGCACAGUUACAGAUGGAUUCUAGAGCCUGCUUGCUGACACAGGCUUGCAACUGCGGACUUUAUAAGCUUAGUUUUUAAUCUGCUAUCAGCUAGCAUAAUACCAUAAAUGCAUAAGAAACUAAGUAUUCAGUCUUACGAGAAAUGCUAUCUUGACCUGACCCUUUCUCCAAAUAAAUUGACAAAAUAUCUCAUCGUCUAGGAUGCCAGACAGAAAUACCAGUUGCAAUGUUUUGUUGCAUAAAGUUUAUCCUAAUUUAAAUUAGUGGCAUAUAAAGUCAUCAUCUUGCUUGAACAAACAUCUUAUUAAAUUGAGCAUGUCUUUUAUCCCAUGAAAUGAAAUUAAUUUUGAGAUAGUUAUUUUUCAGUUGGAAAUUUAUUGAGUUGAUAGAAAACAAGUUAUAUAGUCUUCCAAAGAAUAUGUUACAUCCAUUUGCAUUUUGUUUUUCUUCAGCAAUGUUUGGUUUUUAGAAAAUCUUACAAGUUAAAUAUACUAAUGUAGAAAUUGAAAGAAAAUAAUCAGAGAUAGAGCAAUAAAUUUGCAAAUAAAGAUUAUUCUUAAAACAAA
Molecule: long non-coding RNA, 883 nt
Filed under: Homo sapiens (human)
Lineage: Eukaryota; Metazoa; Chordata; Mammalia; Primates; Hominidae
Description: long intergenic non-protein coding RNA 882
Source: RNAcentral